This 460-nucleotide ribosomal RNA is filed under the name uncultured bacterium. RNAcentral's name for it is "partial 16S ribosomal RNA". It matches the Rfam family "Bacterial small subunit ribosomal RNA", at positions 338 to 795 of the family's 1533-position model. The record is from RNAcentral.
CCUACGGGAGGCUGCAGUGAGGAAUAUUGGUCAAUGGACGAGAGUCUGAACCAGCCAAGUAGCGUGAAGGAUGACUGUCCUAUGGGUUGUAAACUUCUUUUAUAUGGGAAUAAAAUGUUCCACGUGUGGGACUUUGUAUGUACCAUAUGAAUAAGGCUCGGCUAACUCCGUGCCAGCAGCCGCGGUAAUACGGAGGAUCCGAGCGUUAUCCGGAUUUAUUGGGUUUAAGGGGAGCGUAGGUGGAUUGUUAAGUCAGUUGUGAAAGUUUGCGGCUCAACCGUAAAAUUGCAGUUGAAACUGGCAGUCUUGAGUACAGGAGAGGUGAGCGGAAUUCGUGGUGUAGCGGUGAAAUGCUUAGAUAUCACGAAGAACUCCGAGUGCGAAGGCAGCUCACUGGACUGCAACUGACACUGAGGCUCGAAAGUGUGGGUAUCAAACAGGAUUAGAUACCCCAGUAGUC